Molecule: ribosomal RNA, 448 nt
Filed under: uncultured bacterium
Lineage: Bacteria
Description: partial 16S ribosomal RNA
Rfam family: Bacterial small subunit ribosomal RNA
Source: RNAcentral
GGCCAGACUCCUACGGGAGGCAGCAGUGGGGAAUAUUGCACAAUGGGGGGAACCCUGAUGCAGCGACGCCGCGUGGGCGAGGAAGUAUUUCGGUAUGUAAAGCCCUAUCGGCAGGGAAGAAGAAAUGACGGUACCUGAAUAAGAAGCACCGGCUAAAUACGGGCCAGCAGCCGCGGUAAUACGUAUGGGGCAAGCGUUAUCCGGAUUUACUGGGUGUAAAGGGGGCGCAGACGGCGAUGCAAGCCAGGAGUGAAAGCCCGGGGCCCAACCCCGGGACUGCUCUUGGAACUGCGUGGCUGGAGUGCAGGAGGGGCAGGCGGAAUUCCUGGUGUAGCGGUGAAAUGCGUAGAUAUCAGGAGGAACACCGGUGGCGAAGGCGGCCUGCUGGACUGCAACUGACGUUGAGGCCCGAAAGCGUGGGGAGCAAACAGGAUUAGAUACCCUAGUA